ACAGCACACACAGCAGUGUAUGUGUGUGUGUGUGUGUAUAUAUAUAUAUAUAUAUAUAUCAAUAUAUAUAUAUAUAUAUAUAUAUAUAUAUAUAUAGAUACAUACAUACACACACACACACGCGGCGUGUGUUUG
Molecule: non-coding RNA, 135 nt
Organism: Pelobates cultripes (western spadefoot toad)
Lineage: Eukaryota; Metazoa; Chordata; Amphibia; Anura; Pelobatidae
Source: the annotation of a GenBank genome assembly